GAUGGGGAUGCGUUCCAUUAGAUAGUAGGCGGGGUAACGGCCCACCUAGUCUUCGAUGGAUAGGGGUUCUGAGAGGAAGGUCCCCCACAUUGGAACUGAGACACGGUCCAAACUCCUACGGGAGGCAGCAGUGAGGAAUAUUGGUCAAUGGGCGAGAGCCUGAACCAGCCAAGUAGCGUGAAGGAUGACUGCCCUAUGGGUUGUAAACUUCUUUUAUAAAGGAAUAAAGUCGGGCACGCAUACCCGUUUGCAUGUACUUUAUGAAUAAGGAUCGGCUAACUCCGUGCCAGCAGCCGCGGUAAUACGGAGGAUCCGAGCGUUAUCCGGAUUUAUUGGGUUUAAAGGGAGCGUAGAUGGAUGUUUAAGUCAGUUGUGAAAGUUUGCGGCUCAACCGUAAAAUUGCAGUUGAUACUGGAUAUCUUGAGUGCAGUUGAGGCAGGCGGAAUUCGUGGUGUAGCGGUGAAAUGCUUAGAUAU
This 476-nucleotide ribosomal RNA is filed under the name uncultured Bacteroidales bacterium. RNAcentral's name for it is "bacterial SSU rRNA". It matches the Rfam family "Bacterial small subunit ribosomal RNA", at positions 224 to 697 of the family's 1533-position model. The record is from RNAcentral. Lineage: Bacteria; Pseudomonadati; Bacteroidota; Bacteroidia; Bacteroidales.